CUUGAUGAUCCGGAGAAAGGAACUAUAAUUGAGAAACUCACAGAAGAAACUCUGAGGGAUUGGAAUCAUCUCAAGGAACUCCUAUCCAUAUGUGAAGCUCAAAGACAAAUUGGAG
This is a long non-coding RNA of Ipomoea triloba (trilobed morning glory), 115 nucleotides long. RefSeq lists it as uncharacterized. The transcript has 3 exons. Lineage: Eukaryota; Viridiplantae; Streptophyta; Magnoliopsida; Solanales; Convolvulaceae. The record is from RefSeq and is a predicted model, not a curated record.